RNAcentral lists this ribosomal RNA (497 nucleotides) under uncultured bacterium. Its description in RNAcentral is "partial 16S ribosomal RNA". It matches the Rfam family "Bacterial small subunit ribosomal RNA", at positions 28 to 507 of the family's 1533-position model. The record is from RNAcentral.
GAUGAACGCUGGCGGCGUGCCUAAUACAUGCAAGUCGAGCGAACAGACGAGGAGCUUGCUCCUCUGACGUUAGCGGCGGACGGGUGAGUAACACGUGGAUAACCUACCUAUAAGACUGGGAUAACUUCGGGAAACCGGAGCUAAUACCGGAUAAUAUAUUGAACCGCAUGGUUCAAUAGUGAAAGACGGUUUUGCUUUCACUUAUAGAUGGAUCCGCGCCGCAUUAGCUAGUUGGUAAGGUAACGGCUUACCAAGGCAACGAUGCGUAGCCGACCUGAGAGGGUGAUCGGACACACGGGAACUGAGACACGGUCCAGACUCCUACGGGAGGCAGCAGUAGGGAAUCUUCCGCAAUGGGCGAAAGCUUGACGGAGCAACGCCGCGUGAGUGAUGAAGGUCUUCGGAUCGUAAAACUCUGUUAUUAGGGAAGAACAAAUGUGUAAGUAACUAUGCACAUCUUGACGGUACCUAAUCAGAAAGCCACGGCUAACUACGUG